This 86-nucleotide transfer RNA is filed under the name Myxococcales bacterium. RNAcentral's name for it is "tRNA-Leu". It matches the Rfam family "tRNA". From Rfam's summary of the family: Transfer RNA (tRNA) molecules are approximately 80 nucleotides in length. Their secondary structure includes four short double-helical elements and three loops (D, anti-codon, and T loops). The record is from RNAcentral. Lineage: Bacteria; Pseudomonadati; Myxococcota; Myxococcia; Myxococcales. RNAcentral also lists the same sequence under 1 other name.
GCCAUCGUGGUGAAACCGGCAAACACACCAGUCUGAGAGGCUGGCGCGCCGAAGAGCGCAUCUGGGUUCGACUCCCAGCGAUGGCA